CCUACGGGAGGCAGCAGUGGGGAAUAUUGCGCAAUGGGCGAAAGCCUGACGCAGCGACGCCGCGUGAGGGAUGAAGGUCUUCGGAUCGUAAACCUCUGUCAGCAGGGAAGAACGGUCACUGUGCUAAUCAGCAGUGAAUUGACGGUACCUGCAAAGGAAGCACCGGCUAACUCCGUGCCAGCAGCCGCGGUAAUACGGAGGGUGCGAGCGUUAAGCGGAAUUACUGGGCGUAAAGCGCUCGUAGGCGGUAUGUCAAGUCAAGGGUGAAAUCCCCGCGCUCAACGUGGGAACUGCCUUUGAAACUGGCAAACUGGAGUGUGUGAGAGGAUAGUGGAAUUCCAGGUGUAGGAGUGAAAGCCGUAGAUAUCUGGAGGAACAUCAGUGGCGAAGGCGACUAUCUGGCACAUAACUGACGCUGAGGAGCGAAAGCGUGGGUAGCAAACAGGAUUAGAUACCCUAGUAGUC
RNAcentral lists this ribosomal RNA (465 nucleotides) under uncultured bacterium. Its description in RNAcentral is "partial 16S ribosomal RNA". It matches the Rfam family "Bacterial small subunit ribosomal RNA", at positions 338 to 795 of the family's 1533-position model. The record is from RNAcentral.